This 340-nucleotide ribosomal RNA is filed under the name Metarhabditis rainai. Its description in RNAcentral is "partial 28S ribosomal RNA". It matches the Rfam family "Eukaryotic large subunit ribosomal RNA", at positions 401 to 747 of the family's 3401-position model. The record is from RNAcentral. Lineage: Eukaryota; Metazoa; Nematoda; Chromadorea; Rhabditida; Rhabditidae.
GAAAACACAUGAGUGGAAGCGGAAAGAGUUGACAUAACCCGGUAGCUAAGUUGUAUGUGCACGCUAUUGUGUGUACGUUAGAUGGAUGCUGCUUAUGGUUGCGCCGAUAGCGUCGGUGGUGCUUGCUGACCCGUGUAGUGUUGCCCACAUCUGUGGUGUCUUGCUUGCGGUUAGGUUAGUCACUGGUGGCGUUUAGCUCAGCUUUGCUGAGUAUCGGUGUGAACGUCAAUCACCUUUCCGGCCCGUCUUGAAACACGGACCGAGGAGUGUAACUUGUACGCGAGUCAGAGGGUGGCAAACCCAACGGCGAAAUUAACGUAAAGGUCGGUUAACCGACUGA